RNAcentral lists this ribosomal RNA (398 nucleotides) under uncultured bacterium. RNAcentral's name for it is "bacterial SSU rRNA". It matches the Rfam family "Bacterial small subunit ribosomal RNA", at positions 91 to 505 of the family's 1533-position model. The record is from RNAcentral.
CUUAGUGGCGGACGGGUGAGUAACGCGUGAGUAACCUGCCUUUCAGAGGGGGAUAACGUUCUGAAAAGAACGCUAAUACCGCAUGACAUAUCGGAGCUGCAUGGCUCUGGUAUCAAAGGAGCAAUCCGCUGAAAGAUGGACUCGCGUCCGAUUAGCCAGUUGGCGGGGUAAAGGCCCACCAAAGCGUCGAUCGGUAGCCGGGUUGAGAGACUGAACGGCCACAUUGGGACUGAGACACGGCCCAGACUCCUACGGGAGGCAGCAGUGGGGGAUAUUGCACAAUGGGCGAAAGCCUGAUGCAGCAAUGCCGCGUGAGGGAAGACGGUCUUCGGAUUGUAAACCUUGUCCUUGGUGAAGAUAAUGACGGGUAGCCAAGGAGGAAGCUCCGGCUAACUACG